CCUACGGGAGGCAGCAGUGGGGAAUCUUGCGCAAUGGGCGAAAGCCUGACGCAGCGACGCCGCGUGAGGGAUGAAGGUCUUCGGAUCGUAAACCUCUGUCAGCAGGGAAGAACGGUCACUGUGCUAAUCAGCAGUGAAUUGACGGUACCUGCAAAGGAAGCACCGGCUAACUCCGUGCCCGCAGCCGCGGUAAUACGGAGGGUGCGCGCGUUAAUCGGAAUUACUGGGCGUAAAGCGCUCGUAGGCGGUAUGUCAAGUCAAGGGUGAAAUCCCCGCGCUGAACGUGGGAACUGCUUUUGAAACUGGCAAACUGGAGUGUGUGAGAGGAUAGUGGAAUUCCAGGUGGAGGAGUGAAAUCCGUAGAUAUCUGGAGGAACAUCAGUGGCGAAGGCGACUAUCUGGCACAUAACUGACGCUGAGGAGCGAAAGCGUGGGUAGCAAACAGGAUUAGAUACCCCAGUAGUC
Molecule: ribosomal RNA, 465 nt
Filed under: uncultured bacterium
Lineage: Bacteria
Description: partial 16S ribosomal RNA
Rfam family: Bacterial small subunit ribosomal RNA
Source: RNAcentral